This 614-nucleotide ribosomal RNA is filed under the name Escherichia coli. RNAcentral describes it as "partial 23S ribosomal RNA". It matches the Rfam family "Bacterial large subunit ribosomal RNA", at positions 604 to 1220 of the family's 2925-position model. The record is from RNAcentral. Lineage: Bacteria; Pseudomonadati; Pseudomonadota; Gammaproteobacteria; Enterobacterales; Enterobacteriaceae.
CCUUUUGUAUAAUGGGUCAGCGACUUAUAUUCUGUAGCAAGGUUAACCGAAUAGGGGAGCCGAAGGGAAACCGAGUCUUAACUGGGCGUUAAGUUGCAGGGUAUAGACCCGAAACCCGGUGAUCUAGCCAUGGGCAGGUUGAAGGUUGGGUAACACUAACUGGAGGACCGAACCGACUAAUGUUGAAAAAUUAGCGGAUGACUUGUGGCUGGGGGUGAAAGGCCAAUCAAACCGGGAGAUAGCUGGUUCUCCCCGAAAGCUAUUUAGGUAGCGCCUCGUGAAUUCAUCUCCGGGGGUAGAGCACUGUUUCGGCAAGGGGGUCAUCCCGACUUACCAACCCGAUGCAAACUGCGAAUACCGGAGAAUGUUAUCACGGGAGACACACGGCGGGUGCUAACGUCCGUCGUGAAGAGGGAAACAACCCAGACCGCCAGCUAAGGUCCCAAAGUCAUGGUUAAGUGGGAAACGAUGUGGGAAGGCCCAGACAGCCAGGAUGUUGGCUUAGAAGCAGCCAUCAUUUAAAGAAAGCGUAAUAGCUCACUGGUCGAGUCGGCCUGCGCGGAAGAUGUAACGGGGCUAAACCAUGCACCGAAGCUGCGGCAGCGACGCUUAUG